RNAcentral lists this ribosomal RNA (502 nucleotides) under uncultured organism. RNAcentral's name for it is "SSU rRNA". It matches the Rfam family "Bacterial small subunit ribosomal RNA", at positions 15 to 509 of the family's 1533-position model. The record is from RNAcentral.
GAUCCUGGCUCAGGAUGAACGCUAGCGGCAGGCUUAACACAUGCAAGUCGAGGGGCAGCGGGUUGUAGCAAUACAAUGCCGGCGACCGGCGAAAGGGUGAGUAACGCGUGAGCAACAUGCCCCGGUAGUGGAGGAUAGUCAUUGGAAACGAUGCGUAAUACUCCGUAACAACAGGGACCGCAUGAUCCUUGUUUAAUAGAUUUAUUGCUAUCGGAUUGGCUCGCGUACCAUUAGCUAGUUGGCGGGGUGACGGCCCACCGAGUCGACGAUGGCUAGGGGAUCUGAGAGGACGGUCCCCCACACUGGUACUGAGACACGGACCAGACUCCUGCGGGAGGCAGCAGUAAGGGAUAUUGGGCAAUGGGGGCAACCCUGACCCAGCCAUGCCGCGUGAGGGAAUGAGGCCCUACGGGUCGUGAACCUCUUUUAUUCGGGGACAAGGACGCGCACGAGAUGCGCGUUUGAGGGUACCGAAGGAAUAAGCGUCGGCUAACUCCGUGCC